RNAcentral lists this ribosomal RNA (254 nucleotides) under uncultured bacterium. Its description in RNAcentral is "partial 16S ribosomal RNA". It matches the Rfam family "Bacterial small subunit ribosomal RNA", at positions 524 to 776 of the family's 1533-position model. The record is from RNAcentral.
UACGAAGGGGGCUAGCGUUGUUCGGAAUUACUGGGCGUAAAGCGCGUGUAGGCGGGUCCUUAAGUCAGGGGUGAAAUGCCCGAGGCUCAACCUCGGAACUGCCUUUGAUACUGGGGAUCUUGAGUCCGGGAGAGGUGAGUGGAACUGCGAGUGUAGAGGUGGAAUUCGUAGAUAUUAGGAAGAACACCAGUGGCGAAGGCGGCUCACUGGUCCGGUACUGACGCUGAGGUGCGAAAGCGUGGGGAGCAAACAGG